AAUUCACCUAUUCACCAAUAGCGACGCCAUCUUGAAUUUCGCGUUUAACGCAAUGCAUUAUGGGUGAUCCAGGGUAAUUGAGCGUUUUUGAAGGGCUGUAAAUCAAAUAUGUAGGCGAAAACACACGUUUUUAUAGUUGAAAAUAACAGACAAUUUUUAGAAGAACUAGGAAAACACACAAAAGCUGGGAAAAAUAAAAGAAUCAG
Molecule: non-coding RNA, 206 nt
Organism: Paramuricea clavata
Lineage: Eukaryota; Metazoa; Cnidaria; Anthozoa; Malacalcyonacea; Plexauridae
Source: the annotation of a GenBank genome assembly